Molecule: small nucleolar RNA, 107 nt
Organism: Sorghum bicolor (sorghum)
Lineage: Eukaryota; Viridiplantae; Streptophyta; Magnoliopsida; Poales; Poaceae
Rfam family: Plant small nucleolar RNA R71
About the family: R71 is a member of the C/D box family of snoRNAs containing the C (UGAUGA) and D (CUGA) box motifs. Multiple nearly identical copies of this snoRNA have been identified in Arabidopsis, and it is thought to function as a 2'-O-ribose methylation guide for 18S ribosomal RNA.
Source: Rfam
AUUACAUGAUGGGGACAUUCUAGGAUGUAGUCUUGGAAGCUCUCCCAUGCUUCUAGAACAGAUUCAUCAUGUUGUUGCUGAGAACUUUUAAUUUUCCCACGGAGAGC